Molecule: non-coding RNA, 602 nt
Organism: Phoenix dactylifera (date palm)
Lineage: Eukaryota; Viridiplantae; Streptophyta; Magnoliopsida; Arecales; Arecaceae
Source: RefSeq, a predicted model, not a curated record
CUCUCUUCCGGUCAUCCCUCAAUGUCCCUCUCGGCCUCUCCCCUCUCCUCUCCUCCGCCUCCGCCCUCUCCUCCCCCUUGCUGACUACUUCCUCCUCCCCGUCGACGGCGACCGCAGCUACAUCAUGCCCCCCUAACCCCCGUUUCCUUUUACCCCAUGAUAGCAAAAUAAAAGAAAAGAAGAAGAGGAAGAGGAAGAGGAUCUCAUCUAUUCCCUCUCCCUGGGAUUUCUUUGGCUCCCGUCGCCUUCCCUCUCCCUACUCUGUUCGAAGUCCUCCGUGCGUGCGAGCUAUUUAGGGUUCGGGUUCGAUCUCAUCUACGCGAGGUCGGAUCCUCUGCUCUACCGAGCAUGAAGUUUAGCUCAUUUACUUGGUGAUCCGGGGGAUUGUCAGGAAGGUGGUAGAGGAUUCUCAUUGGUUUAUUGGGGAGAAUAGAUCUCAUCUACCAUGAGGGGAUCUGCAGUUGGACAUCGAUUGACCAAGGAAUUGCCUACGUGCUGAUGCUAGUGGCCUUAGUCCUCACCUAUCUCAUCCACCCCUUGGAUGCUUCAUCACCUUACAAGCUCUUCUAAGCCCAUUCAUGGACUGAAUUGAUGGAUUUGUU